Molecule: long non-coding RNA, 606 nt
Filed under: Homo sapiens (human)
Lineage: Eukaryota; Metazoa; Chordata; Mammalia; Primates; Hominidae
Description: HSALNT0052556
Source: RNAcentral
CCUGCUCAUUAAUGGGUACUUUGGAGGGCAGAUGGAUGACACAUAAAGCAAUAGAAUUCUGCAUGUUUGCCCAAUGAAAGCAGCCCAGCACAAGCUCCCAGUGAACUAGAGCUGCCUUUUGCUCUCUCCUGUCCACUGUCUGUUUCUAUUCAUGUCCUUCUUCCAAAAAGGAAAACUAUUUCACCAGAGCCAACAAGGCCAGCACAUGAAACAAAGUUUGAGGCACAAGAUAUUAUAGUUAGAUAUCUGGUGCUAAGGACUCUCCUUGUCAGCCCACAGGGGCCUGCUUCAGAAUUCCAAGUCAAAAAACUGCAGCAUUUCCAUUUUUAACUUGUUUUACCUUUGCGGCCAUGAAAUAAAAAGGCAGCUGGAAUUAAAUGAUGGGCCUCACUGUCUGUUUUUGCUAUAGGUGGGAACUGCAAGAUACAUGGCUCCAGAAGUCCUAGAAUCCAGGAUGAAUUUGGAGAAUGUUGAGUCCUUCAAGCAGACCGAUGUCUACUCCAUGGCUCUGGUGCUCUGGGAAAUGACAUCUCGCUGUAAUGCAGUGGGAGGUAGGUGUGGACCAGCAUCAUUGUGUAGUGGUAAACUUGUCUUCAAAAUAAGAUC